GACGAACGCUGGCGGCGUGCCUAAUACAUGCAAGUCGAGCGGAUGACGGAGGAGCUUGCUCCUCCUGAUUCAGCGGCGGACGGGUGAGUAACACGUGGGCAACCUGCCCUGUAGAUUGGGAUAACUACGGGAAACCGGGGCUAAUACCGAAUAAUCCUUCGGACCUCAUGGUCCGAUGUUGAAAGACGGCAUCUCGCUGUCACUACAGGAUGGGCCCGCGGCGCAUUAGCUAGUUGGUGAGGUAACGGCUCACCAAGGCCACGAUGCGUAGCCGACCUGAGAGGGCGAUCGGCCACACUGGGACUGAGACACGGCCCAGACUCCUACGGGAGGCAGCAGUAGGGAAUCUUCCACAAUGGACGAAAGUCUGAUGGAGCAACGCCGCGUGAGUGAAGAAGGUUCUCGGACCGUAAAACUCUGUUGUGAGGGAAGAACAAGUACCGGAGUAACUGCCGGUGCCUUGACGGUACCUCAUUAGAAAGCCACGGCUAACUACGUGCCAGCCGCCGCCGUAA
This 515-nucleotide ribosomal RNA is filed under the name uncultured bacterium. RNAcentral describes it as "partial 16S ribosomal RNA". It matches the Rfam family "Bacterial small subunit ribosomal RNA", at positions 28 to 523 of the family's 1533-position model. The record is from RNAcentral.